ACAAUGCCCACAAUGCUGAGCGGGGCUGGCUGCUGCUGGCCGCCUGCCUCAGUGGCUUUGCACCUUCCCCGCGCUUCAACAAGUACCUUCUCAAGUUUGUGUCUGAUUAUGGGCGGAAUGGCUUCCAGGCUGUGUGUCAGCACCGCCUCAUGCAGGCCAUGGGCCGGGCCCAACAGCAGGGCUCGGGGGCUGCCCGCACCUUACCCCCGACCCAGCUCGAGUGGACAGCGACCUAUGAGAAGGCCAGCAUGGCGCUGGACGUGGGCUGCUUCAAUGGGGGCUGGCAGAUGGCUGGCGCGGCUGGACCGUGGCCAUGAAGAAUGGUGUCCAGUGGGCAGAGCUGGCUGGCCACGACUACGUGUUGGACCUGGUGUCGGACCUGGAGCUGCUCAGGGACUUCCCUCGACAGAAGUCCUACUUCAUUGUGGGCACAGAGGGGCCUGUAGCCAGCAGGGGAGGCCCCAAAGUGGUGUUUGGGAACAGCUGGGACUCGGAUGAGGACACGCCCAUUAGACCCCAGCCCCAGGAGCACAUGCCCAAAGUACUUGACUCUGAUGGGUACAGCAGCCACAAUCAGGACGGUACAAAUGGGGAGACUGAGGCCCAAAGAGGGACAGCAACCCACCAAGGUCAACGAACAAUGGCUGCUGUCUCUGGUGGGGAGGGAGCCUUAGAGGCUGUGUGGGGUGGAAAUCAUCAAGAAAAAAGAACCUGACAUUUUUGUGCCUUCCCCUCCAGAGUCAGACAGUCUUGGAGAGCCUGCUGUGCCCCACAAGGGGCUGGACUGCUACCUGGAUAGCCUCUUCGACCCUGUGCUGUCCUACGGGGAUGCGGUAGGGAUGGUGUGGGGUGGGUCAUUUGCAGACAGUAGGCACAGCAUGUACACCCAAGUCACACACUUGUACAGGGUGACUUGAGAGCUUCUCACAGCCAGGGUCAUGGGGUGGUGUGUCCCAUCUGGGUGUCUGCUGGAAGCUGGACAAAGGAUGAGGGUCUCUUCACAGCUAGAGAUGCUCUUGGCUGAUCCUGGAAGGACCCACAGUUAGAAGUGCACCUCUAGCAAGGUGUGGUGGCAUGCCUCUGUAGUCCCAACUACUUAGGAGGCUGAGAUGGGAGGAUCAUUUGAGCCCAGGAGUUUGAGGCUGCAGUGAGCUGUGAUUGCACCACUGUGCUCCAGCCUGGGCAACAACGAGACCCUGUCUCAAAAAAAAAAAAAAAAAAAAAAAAAACAAA
Molecule: small RNA, 1233 nt
Filed under: Pongo abelii (Sumatran orangutan)
Lineage: Eukaryota; Metazoa; Chordata; Mammalia; Primates; Hominidae
Description: retained intron
Source: RNAcentral